AAACAUUGAUAGCAUCCCACCCCGCUAUCCGCCCGGGAACUACGAGCAUUAGCUUGAAACCCAAAGGACUUGGCGGUGCUUUAGUUCCACCUAGAGGAGCCUGUUCUAGAACCGAUGACCCCCGUUCAACCUCACCUCUCCUUGUUUCUCCCGCCUAUAUACCGCCGUCGUCAGCUUACCCUGUGAAGGUUUUAAUAGUAAGCAAAAUUGAUACAACCCAAAACGUCAGGUCGAGGUGUAGCGCAUGGAGAGGGAAGAAAUGGGCUACAUUUCCUGCCACAGGAAACACGGAAGAUGUACUGAAAUAUACACCCAAAGGAGGAUUUAGCAGUAAGUGGAAAAUAGAGCGUCCC
Molecule: ribosomal RNA, 353 nt
Filed under: Barbourisia rufa
Lineage: Eukaryota; Metazoa; Chordata; Actinopteri; Beryciformes; Barbourisiidae
Description: partial 12S ribosomal RNA
Rfam family: Bacterial small subunit ribosomal RNA
Source: RNAcentral